UACGUAGGGGGCAAGCGUUGUCCGGAUUUAUUGGGCGUAAAGCGCGUGUAGGCGGCCAGAUAGGUCUGCUGUGAAAACUCGAGGCUCAACCUCGAGCUGUCGGCGGAAACCAUCUAGCUAGAGUCCGGAAGAGGAGAGUGGAAUUCCUGGUGUAGCGGUGAAAUGCGCAGAUAUCAGGAAGAACACCUAUGGCGAAGGCAGCUCUCUGGGCCUGACCUGACGCUGAGACGCGAAAGCGUGGGGAGCAAACAGG
Molecule: ribosomal RNA, 253 nt
Filed under: uncultured bacterium
Lineage: Bacteria
Description: partial 16S ribosomal RNA
Rfam family: Bacterial small subunit ribosomal RNA
Source: RNAcentral